GACGAACGCUGGCGGCGUGCUUAAUACAUGCAAGUCGAGCGAGGUUACUGUUUUGGAUCCCUUCGGGGUGAAGAAGCUUUAACCUAGCGGCGGACGGGUGAGUAACGCGUGGGUAACCUACCCCAAAGUCCGGGAUAACAGCGGGAAACCGCUGCUAAUACCGGAUGUCUUUACCUUGGGGCAUCUUGAGGUAAAGAAAGGUAACGCUUUGGGAUGGGCCCGCGUCCCAUUAGCUAGUUGGUGAGGUAACGGCUCACCAAGGCGACGAUGGGUAGCCGGCCUGAGAGGGUGGACGGCCACACUGGGACUGAGACACGGCCCAGACUCCUACGGGAGGCAGCAGUAGGGAAUAUUGCGCAAUGGACGGAAGUCUGACGCAGCGACGCCGCGUGAGCGAUGAAGGUCUUCGGAUCGUAAAAGCUCUGUCCUUGGGGAAGAAGGCGAAAGCUUGACGGUACCCAAGAAGAAAGCCCGGCUAACUACGUGCCAGCAGCCGCGGUAAAAUAGACGUACU
This 514-nucleotide ribosomal RNA is filed under the name uncultured bacterium. RNAcentral's name for it is "bacterial SSU rRNA". It matches the Rfam family "Bacterial small subunit ribosomal RNA", at positions 28 to 535 of the family's 1533-position model. The record is from RNAcentral.